AGCGCGGCCUGAUUGGCCCUUUGAACCGGGCGUGGGAUUGGCCGUCGCCUGCCCACCCCGCGGCUGCAGCGUUCCCUGGGGCCUAGCCAACCGCGGGCAGGGCUGGGCAAGGCGGGAGGAGCGCGGACCCAAGAUCGGCUACGCUGCGUCUGCUCAGGCUGCGAGUUCCCGGCUCUGGGGACUCACCUUGCGGAGCUUACCCAGGCGGACUCUCCGCAGCCCCUGAUGGAAAUUUUCUAAUCCCGUGGCGAACCCCCGUACUUCAACGUAUGACAUUCUGUAAAUCUACAAAACAGAUGGGUCCCUGCCUUUGAGAAGUUUUUACAAUUUAGUGGGUACUGGACACGGACCUAAUUUAAUUCUCACAUGCCUUCCCUUUCUAAUAAGCUGCAUGUUAUGUAUCCCUAUUCUACAGAUGUGGGGAAUCCGAAAUUUUUAGCUUUUACUGGGACACACAGCUAGCAAGCAACUAAAGCGAGAAUUCCAACCUGAGCUCCAAUCCGAACUAUUUUCAUAAAAGGCAGGAUCCCAGGCUGAGGGAGUUCGAGGUUUGGGAGACAGUUUAGCAGUCGCUGAGUCCAAACAUGUUGUUUUCCUAGAAAAGAAAACUGAGAUCCAGGAAAGGGAAGUGAUUUUCCAAAGACACACCUGUGAAAGCAGCCGUGUUGAACCAUGAAAGGACCUCAGGAAUGAAACCCACACACAGCAAAGCAACAAAGUGAAAGAAGCGUGGAUUCCUAAUGCAGGAGGCACUGAACCAAUCAAUACCCACUGCCCUCCAGACCUCCACAUGAAAGAAAAAAACUGCUGUCCUGUGAAGAAGACACUCCCCAGAUGCCAGCAACUUGAUAUUGGACUUCCUGCCUUUAGAAACGUGAGAAAUAAAUUUUUUUUCUUUAUAAGUUACCCAGCCUCUGGCAUUCUGUUAUAGCAGCACAGAACAGACUAAGACAGCCACUGAAACCAGAUCUAUGUCCCGGACCACCCUCAUUUGCCUCAAUUUCUCUCUAUAUAUAAUAAGAACAAAUAAUGCAAAUGCUAUCUAUACUUCCCCGUGACUACAGGGAGACUAAGGGAUGAAAUAUAUAAUCACACUUUGAAAAUAUAUAAAUGUUAUCCAACCAUACAUCCAUUGUUUCACAUCAGGCUGGGCCACAUAGCUUCCUCUGUACCCUUUAGUUUCCUGCCCUUAUCUCUAUCACAGGCCAUAUAUCAAAUGCCUAGUAAUUAUCAGUGCAUCUAUAUAUUCCCUAUUCUCCCCAACAAUACAUAAAAGGUUAUUGCAUUGCAUUGAAUUAUAAGACUUGAUUACUGGAAAGUCUAGACAUCACUCAGGGUCAUUGUGGGG
Molecule: long non-coding RNA, 1348 nt
Filed under: Homo sapiens (human)
Lineage: Eukaryota; Metazoa; Chordata; Mammalia; Primates; Hominidae
Description: HSALNT0007737
Source: RNAcentral